AGUUGUCAUGGUUUUGUAACUUCGCUAUUGGUAUUCCACAUCAUAACAUCAUGGACAAAAGAGAAGAACUACGUAUCCCAGAGGACCUCACGGUCAGAGAAGGAAGACACAUCACGGAAGAUACGUCAUCUGGUUGCGCGCGGUGCUUCUUCACUUUCGCUUGCUGCCGGGAGAGGAGUGGGUGUGCUUUCCAAGCCGGGCGCCUUCAUCAAGGUUUUCAAGGGAUACUGAUGCACACGAAACAUGAGGGAACGGAACUGCUGAGCAAACAGAAAUGCAGAAUCUUUGUUUAAUACUAGAAAUUCAACAAACACAUCGGAAUCCAAAGCGGAGAAAGAAUAAACUAGAAGGCGUAAUACAAAGUAUCCAGCCAUUAUGAUCUCUGUUAUCUCUAAAAUAAAAAAUAGAAAUGGAAAAGAAAAAUAUUUCAGUGCAUUUUGUUGUAGAUACCUAUUGUGCUGUAUGUGGAAGGACUGCCUUAUUGAGCAGAACAAAGUUGAUAAUUUCACUAACUUGUGUUGCUUUGCAAAUAUGUGACCAAAGUGUGAAUUGAGUGUGAAUUAGUUUUCAAGUGCAAGUUAGCACAUAGUAAAAUAUUAAGGUUUCC
This 607-nucleotide long non-coding RNA is filed under the name Gallus gallus (chicken). RNAcentral describes it as "lncRNA (ENSGALG00010014025.1)". The record is from RNAcentral. Lineage: Eukaryota; Metazoa; Chordata; Aves; Galliformes; Phasianidae.